GAUGAACGCUAGCGGCGUGCCUAACACAUGCAAGUCGAACGUGAGGAAGACUUCGGUCUUCUGAAAGUGGCGGACGGGUGAGUAAGACGUAGGUGACCUGCCUCGAAGUGGGGGAUAACCAUUGGAAACGAUGGCUAAUACCGCAUAAGCUGGUGACGAUGGGAAUCGUUAUCAGGAAAGCUUUCGUGCUUUGAGAGGGGCCUACGGCCGAUUAGCUAGUUGGUGAGGUAAAGGCUCACCAAGGCGAUGAUCGGUAGCUGGUCUGAGAGGACGAUCAGCCACACGGGAACUGAGACACGGUCCCGACUCCUACGGGGGGCAGCAGUGAGGAAUAUUCGGCAAUGGGGGCAACCCUGACCGAGCAACGCCGCGUGGAGGAUGACGGUUUUCGGAUUGUAAACUCCUUUUCUCAGGGAAGAGCGAGGACGGUACCUGAGGAAUAAGUCACGGCUAACUACGUG
Molecule: ribosomal RNA, 461 nt
Filed under: uncultured organism
Description: bacterial SSU rRNA
Rfam family: Bacterial small subunit ribosomal RNA
Source: RNAcentral